Molecule: ribosomal RNA, 460 nt
Filed under: uncultured bacterium
Lineage: Bacteria
Description: partial 16S ribosomal RNA
Rfam family: Bacterial small subunit ribosomal RNA
Source: RNAcentral
CCUACGGGAGGCAGCAGUGAGGAAUAUUUGUCAAUGGACGAGAGUCUGAACCAGCCAAGUAGCGUGAAGGAUGACUGCCCUAUGUGUUGUCAACUUCUUUUAUAUGGGAAUAAAAUGUUCCACGUGUGGGAUUUUGUAUGUACCAUAUGAAUAAGGAUCGGCUAACUCCGUUCCAUCAGCCGCGGUAAUACUGAGGAUCCGAGCGUUAUCCGGAUUUAUUGGGUUUAAGGGGAGCGUAGGUGGAUUGUUAAGUCAGUUGUGAAAGUUUGCGGCUCAACCGUAAAAUUGCAGUUGAAACUGGCAGUCUUGAGUACAGUAGAGGUGGGCGGAAUUCGUGGUGUAGCGGUGAAAUGCUUAGAUAUCACGAAGAACUCCGAUUGCGAAGGCAGCUCACUGGACUGCAACUGACACUGAGGCUCGAAAGUGUGGGUAUCAAACAGGAUUAGAGACCCCUGUAGUC